AACGAACGCUGGCGGCAUGCCUAACACAUGCAAGUCGAACGAGAUCUUCGGGUCUAGGGGCGCACGGGUGCGUAACGCGUGGGAAUCUGCCCUUUGGUUCGGAAUAACAGUUGGAAACGACUGCUAAUACUGGAUGAUGACGAAAGUCCAAAGAUUUAUCGCCAGAGGAUGAGCCCGCGUAGGAUUAGCUAGUUGGUGUGGUAAAGGCGCACCAAGGCGACGAUCCUUAGCUGGUCUGAGAGGAUGAUCAGCCACACUGGGACUGAGACACGGCCCAGACUCCUACGGGAGGCAGCAGUGGGGAAUAUUGGACAAUGGGCGAAAGCCUGAUCCAGCAAUGCCGCGUGAGUGAUGAAGGCCUUAGGGUUGUAAAGCUCUUUUACCCGGGAUGAUAAUGACAGUACCGGGAGAAUAAGCUCCGGCUAACUCCGUGCCAGCCGCCGCAGUAA
This 449-nucleotide ribosomal RNA is filed under the name uncultured bacterium. RNAcentral describes it as "partial 16S ribosomal RNA". It matches the Rfam family "Bacterial small subunit ribosomal RNA", at positions 29 to 523 of the family's 1533-position model. The record is from RNAcentral.